Molecule: ribosomal RNA, 429 nt
Filed under: uncultured beta proteobacterium
Lineage: Bacteria; Pseudomonadati; Pseudomonadota; Betaproteobacteria
Description: bacterial SSU rRNA
Rfam family: Bacterial small subunit ribosomal RNA
Source: RNAcentral
UGGGGAAUUUUGGACAAUGGGGGCAACCCUGAUCCAGCCAUGCCGCGUGAGUGAAGAAGGCCUUCGGGUUGUAAAGCUCUUUUGGCGGGAACGAAAUCGCGUCCGUGAACAACGGGCGUGGAUGACGGUACUCGCAGAAUAAGCACCGGCUAACUACGUGCCAGCAGCCGCGGUAAUACGUAGGGUGCGAGCGUUAAUCGGAAUUACUGGGCGUAAAGCGUGCGCAGGUGGCUCUUUAAGUCAGAUGUGAAAGCCCCGGGCUUAACCUGGGAACGGCGUUUGAAACUGGAGAGCUGGAGUGUGGCAGAGGAAGGUGGAAUUCCUGGUGUAGCAGUGAAAUGCGUAGAGAUCAGGAGGAACACCGAUGGCGAAGGCAGCCUUCUGGGCCAACACUGACGCUCAAGCACGAAAGCGUGGGGAGCAAACAGG